This is a long non-coding RNA of Cavia porcellus (domestic guinea pig), 324 nucleotides long. RefSeq lists it as uncharacterized. The transcript is spliced from 3 exons. The record is from RefSeq and is a predicted model, not a curated record. Lineage: Eukaryota; Metazoa; Chordata; Mammalia; Rodentia; Caviidae.
AGGAGGCAGUGACCUUUGAGGAUGUGGUCGUGAACUUCAGCAAUGAGGAGUGGGCUUUGCUGAGUCCAUCCCAAAAGAACCUCUGCAGAGAUGUGAUGGGUGAAACCUUUAGGAACUUGGCUGCAAUAGGAGGACUUGGGGAUAUCCAGGAAGCUAAAAAAGAAUGCAAGAUUUACUGGAGAUACUUAAGAAAUGACAAGCUAGGGAAGUCCUAUGGAUAUACAUCUUGGAAUCAGUGUAAAGAAGUAUUCCUUUGUACUGCAGAAGGUAAUGUGAAUGUGAAAGAAACAGAAGCACACCACAAUGUUCAGAUCCAUAAAAAAU